GGAAUCCUGUAUGAUAAAGGUUAGCAACCAGUCAUUAGUUAAUCUUGGAUUUAUCAUGGUGACAUGAUAAGUUAAGUGUAGACAAAUAAGGUACCAGGCUAUAAGCGAAUGCCGAAACUAAAUAUAAGGGGGUAGAGCU
Molecule: non-coding RNA, 139 nt
Organism: Clostridium oryzae
Lineage: Bacteria; Bacillati; Bacillota; Clostridia; Eubacteriales; Clostridiaceae
Source: Rfam